Triticum dicoccoides is the source of this 1888-nucleotide long non-coding RNA. RefSeq lists it as uncharacterized. The transcript has 4 exons. NCBI's taxonomy places the organism in Eukaryota, Viridiplantae, Streptophyta, Magnoliopsida, Poales, Poaceae. The record is from RefSeq and is a predicted model, not a curated record.
GUUGCCUUUCGUGAUGAGCCAGGGACAGAACGACCAUAGUUCACCCCCUCCUGCCUCUCCCCAGAUCCGACUGCCUUAGGGCCUGCGGCGGCUGUCGAAGCCCGGCGAAUUCGUGAUAGAAGAUGCUGACCUUGAGCUCUUGCUGGAUGUCGUCGAUCGGUUACCCCAGGAGUUCGCCGACAGUUUUGAAAGCCCAGAUCUGGCCCCUCUGGCAUUGUUAACGCCAGACCAAACCAACCCUGCCAUUCAGGCGGACUCGAAUGCUGCUCUGGAUGCGGGCAAUAAGUUGGCGUCGGCGGGCCGGGGAGGCCGCACUGUGGCGAGCGGUGGCGUCGGGAGGCAUCUCCGACUGUCCGCGCAGCCAACUGACAGGGUCAACCCAAAGGCGCUUGGUUGGACAAAGAGGUUACGCCGUAAUGCGCCACCUGACCGGACACCAUGUCCUUCUAGGAUGAGUGCACUAGAGCAGUCAAUUGGCAAAUGUGCAGAAGAGACUGCGAAAAGUGUAAUUAGACUGGAACUCGUCUGAGUUUUGAUUCACUGGGCGAGACGUGCGACCUCUACAACUUGUAUUCAUGGGAGAUCGGAUUUGGAAUUCAGUAUGGCAAAACCAGACUGAACGCCGAGAGGACACAGUCAAUGCAAAAAUCCUUUGCAGCUGCUCGGUGUAUUCUGAAUUCUGCUUAGUUGUUAUGCCAUUUGAUUUUUUUUUUGCUGGACUGUACAUGCAGGGGAAGCCGGAGGCGGAGAAUAGUAGAUCUUGUAGAUGCGAGUGCCCUGCAUUGAGAAGGCUCUUGCCGGCAGCUGAUAACAGUUCAUACAUGACAGAGCACUGUGAGGGGCACAACCAUUCCAUGUCUCUAACGAUGGGAGAGGGCGAUAUCGACGUCUAUUACUAAAGAUUUGCUAAAGCAAUUAAGGGAAAACAGUGUCAACCUCUGAAAGGUGCACAACAUCAUAGACAACUUUGUCGGCCGAUGAUGACGCGAGGAAGACUCUGGAGGUCUUCGCAGCAUUGUCGCCGGGAACCCUGACUUCACAUACUGAGUUUUGGCAAACAGUGAUAGCAGGGUGAAGAACUUUGAUGUGGACUAAUGGAAGCAGCAGAACGCAGUACCGGUUCUUCGGGGAUGUGAUAAUCUUCAAAACAACAUAUAGGACCAACCUCUAUGACAUGCCGUUUGGUCUAUUCGUGGGGGUGAACAAUCAUUUUUAAAGCAUUAUCCUGGCUGGGGUACUGAUAUGCUGCUUGAUAAAUACAAUUUGAGGACGGUGGGGAACACUGAAGGCGGUGACACCCGAGCAAGAAUAGAGGUUCAGUUCCCGGACACGUCGAGCUUGGGGUCGACAGCGAGCGCUUGGAGCACGAACUUGACGCCGGAGCAAGGAGGCCAUGGCAUCGACGACGUGAGCGGAAAUAUUGGUUCUGUUGUGCUGUGAUACAGCCGGAACUCUCUUCAGAGAAGAUUUUGAAGCUAACUGGAUGAUAGGGUCAGAGAUGAUACCCUUGAAGGAUUCAGCAAGCAUGACCCAGCUGCCGUCGCGUUGGCCAGCUAAGAUGGUGUUGACUCUGAUGUGGACAACGGGUCACGCGUGAUGUAUGUGGCCGGAGAGGUUGAUUCCGGUGGAGUAGAGGGAGUUGAGCAAAGUACUGUGUUUGCUCUGCUCCCGUUGUGCAAGAUGGGCACACCAUCUUCAACAGUUUGUUGUGGUGUGCGUGCGGUGUGCUUGAGGUUCCAGACAAAAAGAAAACUCGUUGAGUGUGAUUACGUCAUGAUUUAUGAAGGGAAACUCUAGUUUGUGCUUGUAAAACCCAGUGGCUGAGUACGCGCACAGUUGCAUCUUGUUGACAGUAAAGUUCUUAAAUCUAACUAAAAUUGUUUUGUUU